This 371-nucleotide long non-coding RNA is filed under the name Olea europaea subsp. europaea. The record is from RNAcentral. Lineage: Eukaryota; Viridiplantae; Streptophyta; Magnoliopsida; Lamiales; Oleaceae.
AAAUAUAUAAAAAGAUAAAACAAAAGUGGAAUUCCACUUUUCUCUCUCUCUCUCUCUCACUUACGUGAAUAACAAUUCAAAUCCAUAAAUCCAUAAUAAUAAAAUAAUAAUUUAAGGUUAUAUCUUCCAACGUCGAUAACUUAGGCUCCGCUAAUCCAAAUUAACUUUUUCUCGAGCCUAAAAUGCGUCUUUAAUUACGAUCUAUCCAACAAGCCCAAUAUCCGUAUACUUAUUAUCGUCCCGUCAAAAUCUACAUUUUAAGCCCAAUAAAAUUAAAAUUUACCUUAUAUAUACAUUAGUCCCUAAACUUUCAAAACAUUAAAAUAUAGCAUAAAAAAAUUAAAUUAUAUUCUAUGAAAUUUUGGGACAUU